UCUCACCAUUGGUUGCUCCCCCAAUCGGUGAGACAGCUAGGGCUGCAUCUCUCCCUCGCGUUGACGCCGCCGCCCCGUCCCCUUCUCUUCGUUGCCUCCCCUCGCGCCGCCGCCCUCCGAGAAGCAACGCGGCCACUACUGCUCUGUGUUGCGCCGAGCUUGCCACCGCCGCCGCUCUCCCCGUCGAGCUCGUCCCUCACCACCGGCCCUCAAGUUGUGGAGGGGCAACAGGCAGCGGUGGACGAGGAGAUCGCCGCCACCCACCGCCUCGAACCAUGCCGUCGGCACCCAUCCACCCGUCCUCCUCUCCCCUCCCUCCUCGCUGAGAUCGCCGUCGGUGCUGCUCUCCCCGUCGAGCUCGCCCCUCGCCAUUGCCGGGAGGAGACACCACCGGCCAAAGCGUCGAUGGGGGCCUCCAUGGUUGUCGGCGUCCUCCUCCUUGCCGACCUCAGCCCGCCACAUCCGUCUUUCAUGCCCGUCUCCCUCCACUCGAGCCGUCGACUCGCGCUCGCCCUUCGUCGGAGGAGUGACGAGGAGGCCAGGUGGAACGCGCCGUCGUCGGGUUCCAGUGGCUCGACCAGGCCCUCCACCGUAGAGACCCCUCCUUCAUGACCCGCACGAGAAGUUCCUCCGCCCCAUGCGGGGCAUGCAGGGCACGCUCAUCGUCGCAUCCACGCUCCAGAUCGUCAUGGGCUUCAGCGGUCACUGGCGCAUCGUCAUCAGACUGCUGAGCCCGCUGUUGGCCGUGCCGCUCAUCGCACUCGUAGGAUUUGGGCUCUACGAGCUUGGAUUACCAAGUGAUAACUGUACCAUACCCAUUCCAGUGGGGAGCACCGACUUUUGAUGCUGGUGAAUGCUUUGCCAUGAUGGCAGCUACUUUUGUUGCUCUUGUUUUAUAGCUUCAAUCUGCGAUGUGGAAGAAUAUUGGCAUGACUAAUUUCUCAAAAAAAAAAAACUUGCUUUUUCAGCACCAUGUUGUUAAUCCAUCAGAUAUGAACCAAUGAAUUUAUAAACAGAAAUGUUUUGUGUUGCUCUUU
Molecule: long non-coding RNA, 1037 nt
Organism: Aegilops tauschii subsp. strangulata
Lineage: Eukaryota; Viridiplantae; Streptophyta; Magnoliopsida; Poales; Poaceae
Source: RefSeq, a predicted model, not a curated record